This 497-nucleotide ribosomal RNA is filed under the name uncultured bacterium. RNAcentral describes it as "partial 16S ribosomal RNA". It matches the Rfam family "Bacterial small subunit ribosomal RNA", at positions 28 to 507 of the family's 1533-position model. The record is from RNAcentral.
GAUGAACGCUGGCGGCGUGCCUAAUACAUGCAAGUCGAGCGAACGGACGAGAAGCUUGCUUCUCUGAUGUUAGCGGCGGACGGGUGAGUAACACGUGGAUAACCUACCUAUAAGACUGGGAUAACUUCGGGAAACCGGGGCUAAUACCGGAUAAUAUUUUGAACCGCAUGGUUCAAAAGUGAAAGACGGUCUUGCUGUCACUUAUAGAUGGAUCCGCGCUGCAUUAGCUAGUUGGUAAGGUAACGGCUUACCAAGGCAACGAUGCAUAGCCGACCUGAGAGGGUGGUCGGCCACACUGGAACCUAGACACGGUCCAGACUCCUACGGGAGGCAGCAGUAGGGAAUCUUCCGCAAUGGGCGAAAGCCUGACGGAGCAACGCCGCGUGAGUGAUGAAGGUCUUCGGAUCGUAAAACUCUGUUAUUAGGGAAGAACAUAUGUGUAAGUAACUGUGCACAUCUUGACGGUACCUAAUCAGAAAGCCACGGCUAACUACGUG